This 642-nucleotide ribosomal RNA is filed under the name uncultured bacterium. RNAcentral describes it as "bacterial SSU rRNA". It matches the Rfam family "Bacterial small subunit ribosomal RNA", at positions 97 to 726 of the family's 1533-position model. The record is from RNAcentral.
GGCGAACGGGUGAGUAACACGUGGAUAACCUGCCCUCGGCACCGGAAUAGCCCGGGGAAACUCGGAUUAAUGCCGGAUAGCCCCACAUCCCUGCGGGGAACGUGGGAAAAGGUAGCUUCGGCCUCUGGCCGAGGAUGGGUCCGCGGUGGAUUAGCUUGUUGGCGGGGUAAUGGCCCACCAAGGCGACAAUCCAUAGCUGGUCUGAGAGGACGAUCAGCCACACUGGGACUGAGACACGGCCCAGACUCCUACGGGAGGCAGCAGUGGGGAAUCUUGCGCAAUGGGCGAAAGCCUGACGCAGCGACGCCGCGUGCGGGAAGAAGGCCUUAGGGUUGUAAACCGCUUUCAGGAGGGACGAAGCUACUCGGGUGAAUAGCCCAGAGGGUGACGGUACCUCCAGAAGAAGCCCCGGCUAACUACGUGCCAGCAGCCGCGGUAAUACGUAGGGGGCAAGCGUUGUCCGGAUUCAUUGGGCGUAAAGAGCGUGUAGGCGGCCAGGUAGGUCGGUUGUGAAAACUGGAGGCUCAACCUUCAGAGGUCGACCGAAACCAUCUGGCUAGAGUCCGGGAGAGGAGAGUGGAAUUCCUGGUGUAGCGGUGAAAUGCGCAGAUAUCAGGAAGAACACCCGUGGCGAAAGCGGCU